Molecule: ribosomal RNA, 920 nt
Filed under: uncultured bacterium
Lineage: Bacteria
Description: bacterial SSU rRNA
Rfam family: Bacterial small subunit ribosomal RNA
Source: RNAcentral
AGAGUUUGAUCCUGGCUCAGGACGAACGCUGGCGGCGUGCUUAAUACAUGCAAGUCGAGCGAGGUUACUGCAUCAGAUUCUUUCGGGAUGAAGAAGCUUUAACCUAGCGGCGGACGGGUGAGUAACGCGUGGGUAACCUACCCUAGAGAUCGGGAUAACAGCGGGAAACUGCUGCUAAUACCGGAUGUCUCUACGAGAAGGCAUCUUUUAGUAGAGAAAGCAAUAGCGCUCUAGGAUGGGCCCGCGUCCCAUUAGCUAGUUGGUGAGGUAACGGCUCACCAAGGCGACGAUGGGUAGCCGGCCUGAGAGGGUGGACGGCCACACUGGGACUGAGACACGGCCCAGACUCCUACGGGAGGCAGCAGUAGGGAAUAUUGCGCAAUGGAGGAAACUCUGACGCAGCGACGCCGCGUGAGCGAUGAAGGUUUUCGGAUCGUAAAGCUCUGUCCUUGGGGAAGAAGGUCUUCGGACUUGACGGUACCCAAGAAGAAAGCCCCGGCUAACUACGUGCCAGCAGCCGCGGUAAUACGUAGGGGGCAAGCGUUGUCCGGAAUUAUUGGGCGUAAAGGGUGCGUAGGCGGCCUUUUAAGUCAGAUGUGAAAGCCCGCGGCUUAACUGCGGGAUUGCAUUUGAAACUGGGAGGCUUGAGUAUCGGAGAGGGUAGUGGAAUUCCCAGUGUAGCGGUGAAAUGCGUAGAUAUUGGGAGGAACACCAGUGGCGAAGGCGACUGCCUGGACGAAAACUGACGCUGAGGCACGAAAGCUAGGGGAGCAAACAGGAUUAGAUACCCUGGUAGUCCUAGCCGUAAACGAUGGGUACUAGGUGUAGGAGGUUUCGAUACCUUCUGUGCCGCAGUUAACGCAUUAAGUACCCCGCCUGGGGAGUACGUGCGCAAGCAUGAAACUCAAAUGAAUUGACGG